Long non-coding RNA from Cebus imitator (Panamanian white-faced capuchin), 752 nucleotides. RefSeq lists it as uncharacterized. The transcript is spliced from 3 exons. The record is from RefSeq and is a predicted model, not a curated record. Lineage: Eukaryota; Metazoa; Chordata; Mammalia; Primates; Cebidae.
CCAGGUGUGCCUCGGCGGGGCGGAGAAAACCGGUUCUGACCUUCGCUGCCUGGUGGAGAAGGGCGAGGGGAGCGUGAAGCCCUUCGGAUCGCCCCCGCCGCGUCCCGCCCACUCCCCGCCGCGACUUCCUAUUCGCUGCCAACCGAUGUGCGCCGGUGACGUCACCGCGUUCACCAUCCCGGAAGUGCGCGUGGCGGUGACGACGGCGGCGGCAGCAACGGGGCCGAUGUAUAGUUGGUGACUGCCUCUCCAGAUGCUGAGGUGCUUGUAUCGUUGGCACAAGCCAGUACUGAGCUGUAGGUGGAGUAGGCUGUGCCUUCUGAAGCAGUAUCUAUUUACAAUGAAGUUGCAGUCUCCAGAAUUCCAGUCGCUUUUCACAGAAGGAUUGAAGAGUCUGACAGAAUUAUUUGUCAAAGAGAAUCAUGAAUUAAGAAUAGCAGGAGGAGCAGUGAGGGAUUUAUUAAAUGGAGUAAAGCCUCAGGAUGUAGAUUUUGCCACCACUGCUACCCCUAUUCAAAUGAAGGAGAUGUUUCAGUCGGCUGGGAUUCGGAUGAUAAACAACAGAGGAGAAAAGCACGGAACAAUUACUGCCAGGGUGAGUGAAAAGUUUGGCAGUUAAUUACAUUGCUUUUUUGGUAAUUUUUAAAAAUUUAAUAAUUUUCUCUAGUUAAAAGCAAAUAACAAAAACUCUAAUAAAAAACAUUAGUCUUCUCUACCCCUGUCUUAAAACCUGCAGUCCUCUGUUCUUGCAG